GGCAAAGGGAGGGCGUGCGGUUCCCCGCACCCCGCUGCGCUUCUCCCUGCCUUGUCCCUUAGAGCCUCUCACCCAUCCCGCCCUGGUACCCAGUUCCCGGCCCGCGCUACUGCGCGUCCGUCCCGGAUGCUGUGGGCCCGGGGACCAGGGCGUCCCCACUGCGGUUCCUGUUCCUCUCCGGCUGCGGCCCGCCACAGGGUUCACUCUCUUACCCAUCUUCCUCCGCCUCUGGCUUCACCUUCUCCCUGGAGCCUUGCUCCCUAACUGCCCCCUAUCAGUAAGAAUGCCCGCUUGCCCUCCCUGCCCUUCAUCUCAGUCCAUCACCCCACCUCCACCCCAUCCCCACCCCUCCCCUUCCCAGUGCAGGAGAUCCCUGGGCAGAGGCCUAGGGGGAGGGGAGGGGCGCAGGCGCCCUUACCUCGGCCAUCGACAUUCAAGGUGGAGUCCAUUCCGACAUCAUUUGAUUCUCAAAUGAGGGGUUUGAAGGGGUCACAGGUGUGCACACAGUGCACAGGAAUACACACUCUCAAGCUCACUUGUAUGUGUGAUCGUGCACUUACGUGUGCCCACACCGUUCUCAUGCACUCCUGCCGACCUGACUGUCCCACACAUGCACCUCUCCAGGCAUGCACACGGGCACAUAUGUGAUCCGGACAUUCAAACGCGCAUAUGUACACAUUCACACAUGCAUGUAUACAGUCGUGUCUGCAUAAGCCCUCACAUGUAUACAGUCACACAAACACACACAUUCAUGAGUGCACACACACACUGACACCCAUCAACAAACAAACAGAUGCAUCUUCAACAAUAUAGACUUCACCAGACUGUGAGUGUCUCCAUGGGCUUAUGAGCUCUGCAGGCAGGGAUUAUGGUUUCUUCUCUGAAUUCCUGGUAUACAGUAGGGUUCAAGAAAGUUUUGUAGAAGGGAAUAAAUAGAAAAGUGGUGAAAUGGACUCAUAUCUGUGUACCCAUCCAUGUGCUAGGACCAAAUUCAUCUUGCCCUAGAAACCUUGCCAAGUCCAAAUAAUAUGCCUCCCAACCCCAAAAGCAUGCCACCCACCCCCAUGCUUACCCCUUUCCUGUUCCCUCCAUUUCUUCGUUCCCAGACAUCAAGACCCUGGAGCACAGAGUUGAUGGGGGUGUCUGCAAAGUCUAUCCCAACACCCAAAUCUUAACCAUGUUUGGAUUUCAGUUUCCUCCUGGAAAAAAAAAAAAUCUCACUACCCUCCCCAGUUAUGGAAACAAAAGGG
Molecule: long non-coding RNA, 1250 nt
Filed under: Homo sapiens (human)
Lineage: Eukaryota; Metazoa; Chordata; Mammalia; Primates; Hominidae
Description: HSALNT0242183
Source: RNAcentral